UACAGAGGGUGCGAGCGUUGUUCGGAAUUACUGGGCGUAAAGCGCGCGCAGGCGGCCUUUUAAGUCCAUCGGUGAAAUGCCGGGGCUCAACCCCGUUGCAGGCCGAGGAUACUGGGAGCUGGAGACACGUAGAGGCAAGCGGAAUUCCGGGUGUAGCGGUGAAAUGCGUAGAUAUCAGGAGGAACACCGGUGGUGUAAACGGACUUACUGGACACGACUGACACUGAGGCACGAAAGCGUGGGUAGCAAACAGG
RNAcentral lists this ribosomal RNA (254 nucleotides) under uncultured bacterium. RNAcentral describes it as "partial 16S ribosomal RNA". It matches the Rfam family "Bacterial small subunit ribosomal RNA", at positions 524 to 776 of the family's 1533-position model. The record is from RNAcentral.